AUACGGAGGAUCCGAGCGUUAUCCGGAUUUAUUGGGUUUAAAGGGUGCGUAGGUGGUUUGAUAAGUCAGCGGUGAAAGUUUGCAGCUUAACUGUAAAAAUGCCGUUGAAACUGUCGGACUUGAGUGUAAAUGAGGUAGGCGGAAUGCGUGGUGUAGCGGUGAAAUGCAUAGAUAUCACGCAGAACUCCGAUUGCGAAGGCAGCUUACUAAGCUUCAACUGACACUGAAGCACGAAAGCGUGGGGAUCAAACAGGAUUAGAUACCCUGGUAGUCCACGCAGUAAACGAUGAUUACUAGCUGUUUGCGAUACACAGUAAGCGGCACAGCGAAAGCGUUAAGUAAUCCACCUGGGGAGUACGCCGGCAACGGUGAAACUCAAAGGAAUUGGCGGGG
RNAcentral lists this ribosomal RNA (393 nucleotides) under uncultured bacterium. Its description in RNAcentral is "partial 16S ribosomal RNA". It matches the Rfam family "Bacterial small subunit ribosomal RNA", at positions 523 to 918 of the family's 1533-position model. The record is from RNAcentral.